Molecule: transfer RNA, 72 nt
Filed under: Eschrichtius robustus (grey whale)
Lineage: Eukaryota; Metazoa; Chordata; Mammalia; Artiodactyla; Eschrichtiidae
Description: tRNA-Glu
Source: RNAcentral
UUCCCUGACAAGGAAUCGAACCUGGGCAAUGGCAGUGAAAGUGCCAAAUCCUAACCACUAGACCACCAGGGA